Molecule: non-coding RNA, 237 nt
Organism: Vicia faba (fava bean)
Lineage: Eukaryota; Viridiplantae; Streptophyta; Magnoliopsida; Fabales; Fabaceae
Source: the annotation of a GenBank genome assembly
AUGGAUCUUUCCGACCUUAAUUCAGCUGAUAUGCAGAGAUUUUACUCUGAAGAACAACAAAGAGCCAUGAUCAAUGAAAUGGUGGCAAAGAUGACCAGUGAAUGCUGGGACAAAUGCAUCACAGGUACACCUGGGAAUAAGUUCAGUAACAGUGAAACUAAUUGCCUUACACACUGUGCACAGCGUUACAUGGAGAUGAGCAUGCUUAUCAUGAAGCGGUUUCAGAGUAUGCAAUGA